Small nuclear RNA from Neogale vison (American mink), 106 nucleotides. NCBI's taxonomy places the organism in Eukaryota, Metazoa, Chordata, Mammalia, Carnivora, Mustelidae. The record is from Ensembl.
AUGCUCGCUUUGGCAGCACAUAUAUUAAAAUUGGAAUGAUACAGAAGAGAUGAGCAUGGCCCUGCACAAGGGAUACACUGGGAAAGAGGACACUGUCCCUGCCUGU